Molecule: long non-coding RNA, 643 nt
Filed under: Mustela putorius furo (domestic ferret)
Lineage: Eukaryota; Metazoa; Chordata; Mammalia; Carnivora; Mustelidae
Description: lncRNA (ENSMPUG00000026224.1)
Source: RNAcentral
NNNNNNNNNNNNNGCAGCUUAGCCCGCCUAGCCAAUCACCGCAGUGCUCAUGCACCUCCUGCAUGAGUGGACCUAAAUGAACAGCCAAUCAUAUUCAGUCCCUUAUAGCUCUUAUAGUAGGCCUCCUGUACUGGCUCCUGACAGCCACCCCUGGAUUUUUUAGAUUUUUAAGUUUCACACCAAUGCCUGCUAUUCCUCCUGUUAGCAGAUAAUGUUUUGAUAUACUAUCUUGAAAGAACAGGAAGAGGGUAAUAGCCAGGAGUUCCACUUGACCUUCCCUUCUGUAGUACUUUUAUCUUAAAGGACAAUGAGCCGAACUGGGAGUUCUGCUAUCUGCAAAGACAGAAAGAGCACUAGCAGACAGAGCAGCAAGCAGAGGGAGAAGCAGGUUCCCCACUGACCGGAGAGCCCUAUGUUGGGCUCCAUCACAGAACCCUGGGAUCAUGACCCAGGAUGAAGGCAGAAACUUAACGGAUUGAGCCACCCAGCACCCCAGAAGAUUCAACAACUUUUAAAAAAUAAAUGCCAGAGGGAAGCUCAGCUUCUAACCCUGUGUGCUACUUAAUAUUCCAUAAUAUGGCUUAGUGGAGCAAAGUUUGGAAACUUUGGAAAGGGUGAGCUAACAGUAGUUAGUAUCUGAUAA